RNAcentral lists this ribosomal RNA (497 nucleotides) under uncultured bacterium. RNAcentral describes it as "partial 16S ribosomal RNA". It matches the Rfam family "Bacterial small subunit ribosomal RNA", at positions 28 to 507 of the family's 1533-position model. The record is from RNAcentral.
GAUGAACGCUGGCGGCGUGCCUAAUACAUGCAAGUCGAGCGAACAGACGAGGAGCUUGCUCCUCUGACGUUAGCGGCGGACGGGUGAGUAACACGUGGAUAACCUACCUAUAAGACUGGGAUAACUUCGGGAAACCGGAGCUAAUACCGGAUAAUAUCUUUAACCGCAUGGUUCAAUAGUGAAAGACGGUUUUGCAGUCACUUAUAGAUGGAUCCGCGCGGCAUUAGCUAGUUGGUAAGGUAACAGCUUACCAAGGCAACGAUGCGUAGCCGACCUGAGAGGGGGACAGGCCACAGUGGAACUGGGACACGGUCCAGACUCCUACGGGAGGCAGCAGUAGGAAAUCUUCCGCAAUGGGCGAAAGCCUGACGGAGCAAGGCGGCGUGAGUGAUGAAGGUCUUCGGAUCGUAAAACUCUGUUAUUGGGGAAGAACAAAUGUGGAAGUAAAUGUGCACGUAUUGACGGUAACUAAUCAGAAAGCCACGGCUAACUACGUG